This 447-nucleotide ribosomal RNA is filed under the name uncultured bacterium. Its description in RNAcentral is "bacterial SSU rRNA". It matches the Rfam family "Bacterial small subunit ribosomal RNA", at positions 339 to 796 of the family's 1533-position model. The record is from RNAcentral.
CUACGGGAGGCAGCAGUCGAGAAUCUUCGGCAAUGGGCGCAAGCCUGACCGAGCAACGCCGCGUGCGGGAUGAAGGCCCUUGGGUUGUAAACCGCUGUCAGGGGGGAUGAAAGCGCAAGCUUGACAGAGCCCCAGAGGAAGCACGGGCUAAGUUCGUGCCAGCAGCCGCGGUAAUACGAACUGUGCGAACGUUAUUCGGAAUCACUGGGCUUACAGGGUGCGUAGGCGGCGGUGCAAGUCAGGUGUGAAAUCCCACAGCUCAACUGUGGAACUGCGCUUGAAACUGCAUUGCUUGAGAGAGCUAGAGGUAUGCGGAACUUCCGGUGGAGCGGUGAAAUGUGUUGAUAUCGGAAGGAACACCAGAGGCGAAGGCGGCAUACUGGGGCUUAUCUGACGCUGAGGCACGAAAGCCAGGGGAGCAAACGGGAUUAGAUACCCCGGUAGUCC